Gymnodraco acuticeps is the source of this 186-nucleotide long non-coding RNA. RefSeq lists it as uncharacterized. Lineage: Eukaryota; Metazoa; Chordata; Actinopteri; Perciformes; Bathydraconidae. The transcript has 2 exons. The record is from RefSeq and is a predicted model, not a curated record.
CCUACGUGGCCCCUCAGAGGCAGGCUGAACCCCAGGCCUACAUCUUUCCUCAGGUUGCUCCUCUCAAGUCCCGAGUGCUCACAUAAAUGCCAAAUGGUUUCGUGUCAGUCCAAAGUGGGGACAAUAGCAGGUGCAGCUGGUGUCCUCGGAUGAAUAUUUUAUUUUUAAAUAAAUACAUUAAUUUAC